This 533-nucleotide ribosomal RNA is filed under the name Dehalococcoidia bacterium. RNAcentral's name for it is "partial 23S ribosomal RNA". It matches the Rfam family "Bacterial large subunit ribosomal RNA", at positions 2395 to 2925 of the family's 2925-position model. The record is from RNAcentral. Lineage: Bacteria; Bacillati; Chloroflexota; Dehalococcoidia.
AGGGACGAAAGUCGGGCAAAGUGAUCCUACGGUACCGCAUGGAAGGGCCGUGGCUUAUCGGAUAAAAGCUACCCCGGGGAUAACAGGCUGAUCUUGCCCAAGAGUUCACAUCGACGGCAAGGUUUGGCACCUCGAUGUCGGCUCGUCGCAUCCUGGGGCUGAAUAAGGUCCCAAGGGUCGGGCUGUUCGCCCGUUAAAGCGGCACGCGAGCUGGGUUCAGACCGUCGUGAGACAGGUCGGUCUCUAUCCGUCGUGGGCGUAGCAGAGUUGAGGGGGGCUCUCUCUAGUACGAGAGGACCGAGAGGGACAGACCUCUGGUGUUCCAGUUGUCGUGCCAACGGCAACGCUGGGUAGCUAUGUCUGGAAGGGAUAAGCGCUGAAAGCAUCUAAGCGCGAAGCCCACCUCAAGAUGAGCUCUGCCACCGGGUUAACCGGGUAAGGCCGGAGGCAGACUACCUCCUAGAUAGGCGGCAGGUGUAAGCCGGGCAACCGGUUCAGCUGAGCCGUACUAAUGGCCGAGGGCUCGACCUACA